UACGUAGGGUGCAAGCGUUGUCCGGAAUUAUUGGGCGUAAAGAGCUCGUAGGCGGUUUGUCGCGUCUGCUGUGAAAACCCGAGGCUCAACCUCGGGCCUGCAGUGGGUACGGGCAGACUAGAGUGCGGUAGGGGAGAUUGAAUUCCUGGUGUAGCGGUGGAAUGCGCAGAUAUCAGGAGGAACACCGAUGGCGAAGGCAGAUCUCUGGGCCGUAACUGACGCUGAGGAGCGAAAGCAUGGGGAGCGAACAGG
Molecule: ribosomal RNA, 252 nt
Filed under: uncultured bacterium
Lineage: Bacteria
Description: partial 16S ribosomal RNA
Rfam family: Bacterial small subunit ribosomal RNA
Source: RNAcentral